Molecule: long non-coding RNA, 335 nt
Organism: Saccostrea cuccullata (small rock oyster)
Lineage: Eukaryota; Metazoa; Mollusca; Bivalvia; Ostreida; Ostreidae
Exons: 3
Source: RefSeq, a predicted model, not a curated record
UACAGCCUCUAUAUACCAUUCCUUGGUGCCUCCUUGAAUUGAUGUUUUUCAGGAUAACCAUGCAGGAAUAAAGGGUUUACUCAGUAUAAAGUCUUGCUGACAUGAACAUGAUAAUCACAAGAAAGUGAAUAUAUUUCAUCACCUUCAGCAAUCUUCAAAAUACCAGAUUGGAAAAAGAAAGAAGAUUUGUAGCAUUGUAUUGAAUAUGCCUGAUUAAAAGUAUUAAUGGAUAAAUUGGUGUUUUUCUCUUUUCUUCAGAAAAUUUGAAAUCGGAGGCAAUGCUCAGAAUUUUAGAGAUUUUGUAGAAAGAGCUGAUGGGUCCCUUUAUCCUUUUG